CAGUAGCCGCGGUAAUACGAAGGGGGCUAGCGUUGUUCGGAAUCACCGGGCGUAAAGCGCACGUAGGCGGAUUUUUAAGUCAGGGGUGAAAUCCCGAGGCUCAACCUCGGAACUGCCUUUGAUACUGGAGAUCUUGAGUUCGGAAGAGGUUGGUGGAACAGCUAGUGUAGAGGUGAAAUUCGUAGAUAUUAGCUAGAACACCAGUGGCGAAGGCGGCCAACUGGUCCGACACUGACGCUGAGGUGCGAAAGCGUGGGGAGCAAACAGGAUUAGAGACCCGCGUAGUCCCUGUCUCUUAUAC
RNAcentral lists this ribosomal RNA (301 nucleotides) under uncultured bacterium. Its description in RNAcentral is "partial 16S ribosomal RNA". It matches the Rfam family "Bacterial small subunit ribosomal RNA", at positions 509 to 807 of the family's 1533-position model. The record is from RNAcentral.